UUACUGAUAACUCAACUGAUUUGAUGAGAUCUAAUAGGAUGCAAAUGAAACAUUUAUCAUCUUACUUGAUUAUUUUCAUGAAAUGGACAUGAGUUAUCCAAAAUUUAGGUUAAUUUUUUUGGGUUUGUGUAAUUGAAACUUUGGUGAUUUUGCUGAUUUGAUGUGAUCUAAUGGGUUAUGGAUCAAAUUUUACCAAACUUAAUUGCUUUGUUUCAUGAAAAGGGCAUGGGGUUUUCUUAAUUUUAGGUUAAUUACACUUGGGUUUAUGUAGUUGAAAUUUGAACGAAAUUUUAGGUUUAAUCUUUGAUGUUAUCCGUGAAUGUGAAUCUAUGAUUAUCAAAUUAGGCGACUUAGUUGACAGGAUUCAUGGGAAUUGAAUGUUGAUGGUGUGAGUCCUGAUUGUGAUUUUUUUUUUUCGGCUAAGAUUUUUGAAAUUUUUUGGUUUGUAUAAAAGAAGUAUGCAAAGCAGCACUCUGAUUUUUGUGAAUUAUGAUGCGAAUCCCCUGCUCUAUUUUGCAUAAAGGUUCAGUAGCUUGGAUUGAUAUUCAGGACCACAUGAUUACACACAUAUUGAUGGAAAAUAUUGUGUGCUAGCUUCUUGCUACUUUGUAUUUGUACAGGUCAAUGUUUGCUUAUGUAUGUCGUUAGUACUACCUAAUUGAUUGUAAUGCUGGUGGAAAAGACCGUGACAGGUAUGGCAUGUGCUCGUAAACCCAUUAAAAAAAUCUACAAUUGUCUGGAUUACUUACUGGAAGUUUAGAAACUCUGCAAUUGUCAUCGACCGGGUACGACUUUAUUUGUGUGACUCAUUAGGCGGAUGAGGUUUUCUCCAUGGUUGAUUUUGCCGAAUCCCGUAGGGAAACCCUAGUUUGCGCAUUGUUGGUUCUAGGAGGCAUAAAGUCUUCAUACGAUGUCAGUUUCUGACACUUGACCCCAACUUGGAAGCUAACAGAUAAAGCUAUUAUAUCCAAAAAGAAUCACCUGAUUUGGAGUUUGUAUGGUCGGUCAUCCAUGCGUGGACAUUUACAACUUGCAAUCCCUUGUGAUUUUUCAGACUCCCCGGAUAUCUUGUCUCGUGCAUCAGUUAGAUACGCCCUUCUAGUACGUCAUAGCAGAGACAUAGAUGAACACUUCUCAUGACGGAUGCGGCGUCCCGUUCCUCAUCAAUGGUUGCUAAUUUCUGUACUUUUGAGAGUAUCUUGAGAAUUAUUAAUUUAGCGUAUCCUCCAUGAUUUUCCAGUGCGGUUAAAGUUGACAGUAAUUGAGACGAAGUCCCCACGUCAUGGGUGUGAUCAGGUAAAGGAAUCCAAGAAGGAUGACGUCUCCUUCUAUUGUCAGUUUGCUGAAUGAAUUCCCAACAGUGAGGGGAUCUCGUGUAUACUUCAAUCUCCAUGUGCAAUUCUUACGAUUCUUCGGAUGCGGCUGUCGAAUAUGAUGUUCCAUGUGGUUCAAUAAAUGAUACCGAAAAUUUCCCCAAGAGUUAAAGCUCGCAGUUGAGUCUCUUGCAUAGGUGGAGCAAGAAUACACUGAUGGCACUGAACCGAUCUUCAAAAAAAAUUCUUCCCUUUGUGGUUCUUCUUAUUUCCAUUCGGGGCUACUGCUACCCGCUUAGUAAAAUAUUAAAAGGAGGGGCAGCUUCUCAUUAAUAUUCCCGAGUUGGAGCGGGAUUGAUCGUCUGGGUCAAUUCCCCGGGCUUUGACGGAUUGUGUGACAACUGGUUGCAAAGAAAUUUGAACAUGACUCACUUUUGCGCAAAAUCUUCAGAUGUAUCAGAUCCAGAUCCGUCAUGUUGCGUAAUUCAUAUAACAGUCAGUUUGGCUUUGCUAGUUUGUUGGAGAGCUUCGGAACGUUCGUAGGAUUGGUACUUCUACUUUGUUGUUUCGGACUCGUGGGCACCCUAAAAUCAUAUCAUAAGAUAAUGAUUUGAAAUUUAGUGCAUGUUUGAAUGUCUCCCAUUUUCAGUUGCAUGCGUAGCCUUGCAUCUGGUAGCCCAUGCAUCUUUCAAAACUUUGACAGUGAUGAUGUUGGCAUCUAUUCUAACAUCGACUAGUACAUUCCCAAACUCAACUCGCUCAACACAGGUGGUGGUGAAAAGUGCCCGGUUGAGGUUUUUAUCGAUCUUAUCGAUUGCGACGGAAGCGACAUGGUUGAAGGCUGUAGAGAUAUCCUUGCGCUAUCUUGAUCUGGCGCUGGUGCCAAGGCUCGGGCGGUUGUUGAGGCGGACAUGGAUUAUUUGGAUCAGGCAUCUUUUUUAGGUGAAACUUCUCUCUUGGAUCUUUAAUUAAUAGCGAUACCAACUGAGAGUUGGUCCGAGUAGUGUUCGUUGAUCAUACACCUAUCCUCACGCGCGUCUCCAUGAUCUCUUCUAUGGAAUGCCUCGUACUUUCUAAUAAAUCUGGAGCAGUGUUGGCUGAUCGCUUGGCCGCUUCGUGAAGUUCCGAAAAAGUUUGAAAACGCAAAUUUUUGAGUAAGGCUCGAUAGACGGGGGUCAUACCGUUAAUACACGACUCUACCAAUUUUCGUUGAAUCACGUUCGGGUCGUGACAAUCCAAGGCUUGUAUUCUGAACCUCUUGAUGUAGUCAUUGGGAUGCUCAUUGUUGCGCUGAAACAUCCUCCCCAGGUUUGAAAGCGUGAUUUGUUCA
Long non-coding RNA from Papaver somniferum (opium poppy), 2643 nucleotides. RefSeq lists it as uncharacterized. The transcript is spliced from 3 exons. The record is from RefSeq and is a predicted model, not a curated record. NCBI's taxonomy places the organism in Eukaryota, Viridiplantae, Streptophyta, Magnoliopsida, Ranunculales, Papaveraceae.